RNAcentral lists this ribosomal RNA (1128 nucleotides) under Rickettsia japonica. Its description in RNAcentral is "bacterial SSU rRNA". It matches the Rfam family "Bacterial small subunit ribosomal RNA", at positions 356 to 1468 of the family's 1533-position model. Lineage: Bacteria; Pseudomonadati; Pseudomonadota; Alphaproteobacteria; Rickettsiales; Rickettsiaceae. The record is from RNAcentral.
GGGGAAUAUUGGACAAUGGGCGAAAGCCUGAUCCAGCAAUUCCGAGUGAGUGAUGAAGGCCUUAGGGUUGUAAAGCUCUUUUAGCAAGGAAGAUAAUGACGUUACUUGCAGAAAAAGCCCCGGCUAACUCCGUGCCAGCAGCCGCGGUAAGACGGAGGGGGCUAGCGUUGUUCGGAAUUACUGGGCGUAAAGAGUGCGUAGGCGGUUUAGUAAGUUGGAAGUGAAAGCCCGGGGCUUAACCUCGGAAUUGCUUUCAAAACUACUAAUCUAGAGUGUAGUAGGGGAUGAUGGAAUUCCUAGUGUAGAGGUGAAAUUCUUAGAUAUUAGGAGGAACACCGGUGGCGAAGGCGAUCAUCUGGGCUACAACUGACGCUGAUGCACGAAAGCGUGGGGAGCAAACAGGAUUAGAUACCCUGGUAGUCCACGCCGUAAACGAUGAGUGCUAGAUAUCGGAAGAUUUUCUUUCGGUUUCGCAGCUAACGCAUUAAGCACUCCGCCUGGGGAGUACGGUCGCAAGAUUAAAACUCAAAGGAAUUGACGGGGGCUCGCACAAGCGGUGGAGCAUGCGGUUUAAUUCGAUGUUACGCGAAAAACCUUACCAACCCUUGACAUGGUGGUCGCGGAUCGCAGAGAUGCUUUUCUUCAGCUCGGCUGGAUCACACACAGGUGUUGCACGGCUGUCGUCAGCUCGUGUCGUGAGAUGUUGGGUUAAGUCCCGCAACGAGCGCAACCCUCAUUCUUAUUUGCCAGCGGGUAAUGCCGGGAACUAUAAGAAAACUGCCGGUGAUAAGCCGGAGGAAGGUGGGGACGACGUCAAGUCAUCAUGGCCCUUACGGGUUGGGCUACACGCGUGCUACAAUGGUGUUUACAGAGGGAAGCAAGAUGGCGACGUGGAGCAAAUCCCUAAAAGACAUCUCAGUUCGGAUUGUUCUCUGCAACUCGAGAGCAUGAAGUUGGAAUCGCUAGUAAUCGCGGAUCAGCAUGCCGCGGUGAAUACGUUCUCGGGCCUUGUACACCCGCCCGUCACACCAAAGGAGUUGGUUUUUUUUUAGGGGUCAAAUAAAAACAAGGGAGCCAACCAGGGUUUGCAGUUCUGUUCCGUCAGCCGCUACAUUCCAGAAAAGAGGC